GGCAGUUUCCUGGGAACCUUGGCAUGUGCCUGCAGUCUCCCAGGGAGAGGCCUGUUGGCUUCCAGCUUCCUUCCCUCUGAGGAAACCAGAGGCAGUCCUCCCUCUCUAUAAAGAUGCCCAGGAGGAAAGACUCACAGGGAGAAACCUAUGCCUGCCUGCUAGGAAAGGGUGGGCAGGCGGGGGAAAACCUGGUUAUACCUGUCAACCCAUCCUCCCCAGCCUCCCAGCUGAAACGGCCGCCAUGGAGCAACAGGUCCCUCCCUCAGGCCAGGAUGUCCUGCUUGGAGCCCAUUUCCUGUUAAGCAGAGAGAUUCUCAAGAGUUGACAAACCAGUUCUUCAACUAUCGGCUUUAACUCCACAGUCCUCACCAGGUCAAUCUUCUGAACUGGAGAGACAGAGUUUGCCUUUUACAAAGAAAAUGGGGGCAGCCCCUUCUCAAAGAGAGAUGCCAAGCUCAGCUGCUCCUAAACAUGGUACCUGGCUCAGACUUUCUGAGGAUGUCACCGACAGCAUUUUUGUGUAGUGCAGCAGUGAUGACACCUUGGUUUUACAGGUCAUGAUAUGGUCCUGCUGAGAAUCCCUGGGCUUCCCGGUUUGCUCCGAGCAGACUCCCUUGGCAGGUGGCCUCUUGACCCUUGUUCAGUGACUAGGCUUUACCACAGAUAACCAGGUUUCCAGGAUGAUGAACUCCUGCCCUUACAUUUCCAAGUAUGUCCUUCCCCCUCUACACAUACACCCCUCCACCUCUGUCCCCACUGCUGCGCUCCUCCACUUUGUUAGGGUUCCGGUUGCUGACCAGAACACCAGGGCUCACUGGUGUAAGACUGUUUACUGACUUUGCCACACUCUUGGGUGUAGUCAGCCUUCCUACCCUCUACUGCCCACAUCCAGAGCCUUGUCUGUCCUGGUGGGCAAGUUUCAUGCCAGGACCUGGCUCCCUCUAGCCCCUCCCUGCCUUCCCAUUCCAAAAAUAUGACACAUUGCAAUGACCCUGAAUGCGUAACAGGCUGAGAGAACAGACGCCUCUGCCUGGAGCAAGAAUGUGGCAUUCUCAUCCCCCUCACAACCCCCAUCCCUGGGAAAACCCAACAAGAUGAGGCUUGGCCUUGUUUGGGUUGCAGCCAGUUUUACCUAUUCCACAGAGGAAAUUGCUAUUUUGGACCUAACUCCAACAAGGUUGAGGCGAUUGGUUGAUAGGAAGUCUCAGAUAUUGUGUUGACUGAAAAAUGGGCACCGUUCAGUCAAGAGAGGCUGAUAGGGGAGUGAAAGGAGCUUCAGCUUUGUGCUCAGAAUGACCUUAAGUUCAGUUCCCACCUUGGUGUGAACUUGGGCAAGUCACUUAACCUUUGUGAGAUCCAAUCUCCCCUUUCAUGUUACGGGGCUAAUAAUCCUCCCUAUUUUGUAGGGUUAUUAUAGGAUGAAAUGUGGACUCACCGACAGCGUUAAGCAUGUACUGGGAACACAACCAAUGCUCAGCUGAAUACCCUCUUGACCAGCCUACAGUAUGGGUUUAAUAAAUGUUAGUUUAAAGAGUCAGAUUUCCAAAUGUUAAAUGAAAACAUGUAUUUUCU
Molecule: long non-coding RNA, 1572 nt
Organism: Equus caballus (horse)
Lineage: Eukaryota; Metazoa; Chordata; Mammalia; Perissodactyla; Equidae
Source: Ensembl